AUACGGAAGAUCCAGGCGUUAUCCGGAUUUAUUGGGUUUAAAGGGAGCGUAGGCGGAAGUUUCAAGUCAGUUGUGAAAGUCUGUGGCUUAACCAUAGAAUUGCAGUUGAAACUGAAUUUCUUGAGUGUAGAUAAGGAUGGUGGAAUUUGUGGUGUAGCGGUGAAAUGCAUAGAUAUCACGAAGAACUCCAAUUGCGAAGGCAGCCAUCCGGGCUACAACUGACGCUGAGGCUCGAAAGUGUGGGGAGC
RNAcentral lists this ribosomal RNA (248 nucleotides) under uncultured bacterium. Its description in RNAcentral is "partial 16S ribosomal RNA". It matches the Rfam family "Bacterial small subunit ribosomal RNA", at positions 523 to 769 of the family's 1533-position model. The record is from RNAcentral.